GAUGGUGAAACAAUGUUAUCUCAGAAUUGUAUUUUUGUUUUUAUAUUUUGAGAUAACAUUGUUUCACCAUCAGAACAAAAGUU
RNAcentral lists this microRNA precursor (83 nucleotides) under Marmota monax (woodchuck). The record is from RNAcentral. Lineage: Eukaryota; Metazoa; Chordata; Mammalia; Rodentia; Sciuridae.